Molecule: long non-coding RNA, 830 nt
Organism: Pristis pectinata (smalltooth sawfish)
Lineage: Eukaryota; Metazoa; Chordata; Chondrichthyes; Rhinopristiformes; Pristidae
Exons: 4
Source: RefSeq, a predicted model, not a curated record
UCGUUUCCUUGCACAGCACACGAUGCCCUGGAGCCGUCCCCUGCUCACCGCCCGGGACACGGUGAGUGUGCUGGAGGUUCUGCACUAUGGACAGCAGCAGAGCCCAGAACAACUUGGAGGCUGUCGUGAAAGCCUCCGUUUGUGAGAUCUUGCUGUGUACAGCUCGACUGCCGUCGUUCCCGUAACACAGCAGCGUUUGCGCUCAAAGCUCCCCAUGUGGCCGCAAUGGGAUUGUGGACGUCUAAAACUGUGAAUAAGGGCUCGGUGAAGAGAUGGAACAAUUCGCGAAGAACGUUUAUCUCCAUGAAGGAUGCCGGUCCCCACAGCAACUGACAGCACGGGAGGGAACUUUGGGCACAGUACGCCGGUCGGAGGAAGUUUCCAUGGAUACACACUGGCAAACAAGAUGAUGAUGCCAGGCAAAAAGAGACACUGAAACAAAUGAAGCACAAGAGGGAGCAAGAAGAGGUGUAAUUGGUUACAGUGGAACAGCAAAGGAGUUGGGAGUGAUGAAGUCUGACAAAAGAAGGCUUUUGUGUCCUUGGAAAAUGGCAGGAGACAAGUUGACUGCAAGGAUGCGGUCAUCUCACCCAUGUACAGUAUGUGCAGGGCUCCUUGCUCCAAGCAACAGCCACAUGCCCUUCACUUCCAAUGGCUGUAAUCCCCUCAUCCUCCAUUACCAGCACCUGCUGUUCGAGGCAAAAUAGGACCUAUACACAGAUGUUCCAACACCCAACCCUAAUGACUUUUCUUCACAUGGAGCCUUAGACAUGCAGUGUUGGCAGACUAUUGAACUUUGAAGGUAUCACACCAAGCUUGAUCCUGUUAAU